Molecule: ribosomal RNA, 429 nt
Filed under: Acidobacteriota bacterium
Lineage: Bacteria; Pseudomonadati; Acidobacteriota
Description: Acidobacteria bacterium partial 16S ribosomal RNA
Rfam family: Bacterial small subunit ribosomal RNA
Source: RNAcentral
UGGGGAAUUUUGGACAAUGGGGGAAACCCUGAUCCAGCCAUCCCGCGUGUGCGAUGAAGGCCUUCGGGUUGUAAAGCACUUUUGGCAGGAAAGAAACGUCAUGGGUUAAUACCCCGUGAAACUGACGGUACCUGCAGAAUAAGCACCGGCUAACUACGUGCCAGCAGCCGCGGUAAUACGUAGGGUGCAAGCGUUAAUCGGAAUUACUGGGCGUAAAGCGUGCGCAGGCGGUUCGGAAAGAAAGAUGUGAAAUCCCAGAGCUCAACUUUGGAACUGCAUUUUUAACUACCGGGCUAGAGUGUGUCAGAGGGAGGUGGAAUUCCGCGUGUAGCAGUGAAAUGCGUAGGUAUGCGGAGGAACACCGAUGGCGAAGGCAGCCUCCUGGGAUAACACUGACGCUCAUGCACGAAAGCGUGGGGAGCAAACAGG